This 253-nucleotide ribosomal RNA is filed under the name uncultured bacterium. RNAcentral's name for it is "partial 16S ribosomal RNA". It matches the Rfam family "Bacterial small subunit ribosomal RNA", at positions 524 to 776 of the family's 1533-position model. The record is from RNAcentral.
UACGUAGGGGGCAAGCGUUGUCCGGAUUUAUUGGGCGUAAAGAGCGUGUAGGCGGCCAGACAGGUCCGUUGUGAAAACUCGAGGCUCAACCUCGAGAUGUCGAUGGAAACCGUCUGGCUAGAGUCCGGAAGAGGAGUGUGGAAUUCCUGGUGUAGCGGUGAAAUGCGCAGAUAUCGGGAGGAACACCAGUAGCGAAGGCGACUCGCUGGGCCAUUCCUGACGCUGAGACGCGAAAGCUAGGGGAGCGAACAGG